RNA transcript from Maniola jurtina (meadow brown), 3419 nucleotides. It is a transcript of the gene named regucalcin-like, with no coding region annotated. The transcript has 6 exons. The record is from RefSeq and is a predicted model, not a curated record. NCBI's taxonomy places the organism in Eukaryota, Metazoa, Arthropoda, Insecta, Lepidoptera, Nymphalidae.
ACUAGUGUUAGUCCCGUUUCAUCUUGUCUUAGUGUGUGGUCAGAUCCUAAAUGUCAGUGGCAAAAGAGUCAUGUCUAUGGUUUAUGUCAAUUGUCAUUUGUCAACGUCAAUUUAUUAAUUCGAUCUAAUGUCAAUGUCAAAGUAACGUGGAACCGUGGUGAACUAUUUAAUUUUAAAUAAUUUAUUUUUAUAAUUUGUAUUAAGUAUAUGAAUUAGUUAAAAGUAAUUAAGUAUAAUGUCUUUAAUAACGCGCACAGACGUGACAGCUGUAAAGCUGUAUCAAUCUUUUAUUAUCGCAGGUAUAGGAAGUAACAUAGAAGUGUACAAAAGAGAUUCUGGUAAAUUUAUUGAGAAAAUACCGGUAUUAAAAGGUCAGAAAAUAUAUGGUAUUGUACCAUCUAAUUUGGACUCAAAAUUUCUUAUUUUUGGCGGUAAACAGUUCACAAUAUUGGCAAGCAAAGCUGAACCGAUUGAAACAGAUGAAAACUUAAUUAUUGAACAUGAUGUGGAGGCCAUAGUUUGUGACGACUGGUUACAUUCAGGUGUUUGGAUGUCUAACAGCACAGUUGCUUUCCUGACAGCCCAUAAUGUAGUACAGAUUUGGAACAUAGAAAACAAGUUUUUAGAGGGACAAUAUGCAAGUCCUGAUAACUCUAUACUAUAUAGUGGGUUACUGUUACCACUACAAGACAAGCUCUUGGUGUUCAGUGGCACAGUGUUCUCUGAGGUCAUUGUACAGUGGUGCGGGGAUGACCAGGCACUACAACAUUUAAAAGGUCAUAAGGGUGUCAUUUUCUCUAUAACCUGCGACCCAGUUAAAAGCAUAAUAGUAACUACUUCUGAUGAUAGAUCACUGCGAAUUUGGAGCAUUAAAAGUCUACCAAAUUUUGAAUACACAUCCAAAGGCUACUGGGAAAAUGCAGACAUUGUUUGCAUGCAUGAAUUAUAUGGGCAUACUGCUAGAGUCAUGCAAAACUGUAUUACUAGUGACUAUAUCAUUUCUAUAGGUGAAGAUUCCGGUAUCUGCUUUUGGAAUCUUGAAGGGAAGUUACUAAGGAAAUUGGUGUCACAUCAAAAUGCUUGUAUAUGGUCUUUAGAUGCAAAUGACAAGUAUUUAGUGACUGGUGGUGGUGAUAGUGGUGUCAUAUUACAUCCUAUGUCACUAUUAACUGAAUAUUGUAAUAGUGACAUUAUUAAAAUAGAUAUAGGGUCGGUUAAGAAACUUGAAUUUACAGCCAGAGGCAACAUAGUUAUUAUAAACGAUAAUGACUUAAUUUACUAUGAUUUGAAAUCUAACACAAAUGAAGUUUAUAAUUUAAAUCAUAAAUCCACAUAUAAAUUACUUAGUUUAUCAGCUUGUAAACAAAUAAUAGCAGUUGUUGGUAUGACGGGAAAACUAGACGUAUUUAUAGAAAAUUGUAGAAGUGAUGUGGGAAUUAAAAAUAUAAUUAAUAAAGAGUUGAAUUUAGGUAAUAUACUAUCUAUGCAAUGGGCGAGUAACAGACAUUUGGUUAUUUGUUCUGACAAUGGACAAAUUACGGUUAUAGCUUCAAAAGAAAGUGAUAUUGAAGUGUUAGCAAACUUUAUUCUACCACCCUGUAAAGAAAGAUGGUUAACUUCAAGUGCUAUGAGUGAUAAUCAUCAAAUGCUAGUAGUAAGUGACAGAAAUGGUCGUAUACAUAUAUAUCUACGCGGCAAUAAGAAUCCUCUUAAAACAUUUGACAAAGUUCAUGGUCGAUAUGGUGCUACCAAUAUAAAAAUAAGUAAUAAUCAAAUAAUCACAACUGGGAGAGAUGGUACCAUUAAAUAUUUUUCAAUGAAUAAAAGUACAAAUGAAAUAAAAUACAUGAGUUCAAGAGAUUUAGAGUUUCAAUGGGUAGAAAAGUUCUUGGAUAAGAACAACAGUUAUAUUUGUGGAUUUCAAGAAAGAAUUUUUGUUGUGUAUGAUAUCAAGAAUAAUAUAAAAAUACUUGAAGUGAAUUGUGGUGGCGGACAUAGAUCUUGGGAUGCGGUUCGAUAUUUUGAAAAGCUGAAUGAUAAUUUUGAAGAAUUCAUUAGACUUAUUUAUCUCAAAAACUCUGAAAUACAUUUGGAAACUUUUCAUGUAAGCAAAAUUGUAUCAAGAAAUAUUAUAAAUGGAACACAUUCAAAAGAAAUUAAUUGUUUGAAAACUCAUGUAUUUAAUAAUGAUGGAAAAACUGUAUUUUAUAUAUCAGGGGGUGAAGACACAACUUUAAGAAUAUCUAGAUCAAUCCUAGACACAAAAUUUCUUGACGAAAUAGUUUUUAAACAAUUGUCUAGUAUUAGAACCUUAAAAUUGUUACUAUUGGAAGAAAAUAAAAUACUUUUAGUAUCGGCCGGUGGUAGAGCACAGAUUUGUGUAAAAAUAGUAACUUUAAAUGAUGAUAAUAUAAAUUCAGAAGAAAUAUUAGAUUAUUUAAUAAAAGGUACUGAUAAAGAAAGGAAAGGUAAUCGCAAUUGGAAGGAUUGCUCGAUCGAUUUUGAUCCAGAAACUAGAAUAAUGGAUGUAGACAUUUUAAAAAUUGAUGAAAGUGACUUUUUAAUAAUCGUUGGAUGUUCUGAUGGUAUUUUACGAGUUUUCAGACUCGAGAAUAACUCUAAAGUUGAGUUUAAAUUGAUAAAAGAGAUUAAGCAUCAUAAAACAUGCAUUUUAAAAACACAUAUAUUCAAAUUAAUUAACAAAAAUAUAUUAGCGACAGCUACGACCAGAGGAAACAUUGCUUUUUGGGAUAUCGAAAAUAACUUCACAGAUUUGUAUAGAAUUUUCGAAAUGAAAACCAAUAAAUCAGGAAUAAACAGUAUAGAUGUGAAAGUAAUUAGUGAAACACAGUUUAUAUUGGCCACAGGCGGUGAUGACAAUGCAAUACAUUUAAAUGUAUUGGAAAUCACUGACAAUUUGAAAUCAAUAAAAGUCAAUGAUAGUUGGUCAAGUGAUAAAUACCACUGUUCCCAAAUCACUGGAUUAAAAUUAAUCGAUGAUUUCAUGGCGACAACAAGCAUCGAUCAGAGAAUAACCCUGUUUAGAUUGACAAUUAAAAAUGAUAUUGUUUGUGAAUUUAUUUCGCAAAGUUUUAGCGAUGUUGCUGAUAUACAAGGCAUAGAUAUAAUAAGUUUUUCUGAAGAUUCAAUUAAAGUUUGCGUGUUCGGAAAAGGGAUGGAAGUCUUAGAAAUCUUGACGAGUAAAAAUAUCGAAAGUUAAACCUUGGCGAUGGAUUGGAUGCAUAAUGCAAUUACUUGUAUGAAGAGACAAAAAUUAUUGAUGUCCGUGGAGGUGAGUCCGGUGACGGCGCCGGUGUGGCUGGGCGAGGGCCCGCACUGGUCGCACCACCACCGCGCCUUAUUCUUCGUCAGCAUCUUCGACAAGUCCGUACACAAGUAUGACCCUGUCACCGGCAAGC